AACCUAGCACACCUGCGGUGUGUACCUGCGGAGGGAUCAUUAGCGAGUGAAAACUCCCUAUAUCCUGUGAACUUACCUGUUGCUCCGGCGGGCUCGCCUGCCGGAGGCCACUAUAACUAUGUAUUUAUUGUCUCUCUGAGCACCAAAAGAAAUCGUUAAAACUUUUAACAAUGGAUCU
This 178-nucleotide unclassified non-coding RNA is filed under the name soil metagenome. RNAcentral describes it as "partial contains 5.8S ribosomal RNA, internal transcribed spacer 2, and large subunit ribosomal RNA". The record is from RNAcentral.